This 490-nucleotide ribosomal RNA is filed under the name uncultured bacterium. RNAcentral's name for it is "bacterial SSU rRNA". It matches the Rfam family "Bacterial small subunit ribosomal RNA", at positions 501 to 989 of the family's 1533-position model. The record is from RNAcentral.
CUACGUGCCAGCAGCCGCGGUAAUACGUAGGGCGCGAGCGUUGUCCGGAAUUAUUGGGCGUAAAGGGCUUGUAGGCGGUUGGUCGCGUCUGCCGUGAAAUUCUCUGGCUUAACUGGGGGCGUGCGGCGGGUACGGGCUGACUUGAGUGCGGUAGGGGAGACUGGAACUCCUGGUGUAGCGGUGGAAUGCGCAGAUAUCAGGAAGAACACCGGUGGCGAAGGCGGGUCUCUGGGCCGUUACUGACGCUGAGGAGCGAAAGCGUGGGGAGCGAACAGGAUUAGAUACCCUGGUAGUCCACGCUGUAAACGUUGGGYACUAGGUGUGGGGGCCACCCGUGGUUUCUGCGCCGUAGCUAACGCUUUAAGUGCCCCGCCUGGGGAGUACGGCCGCAAGGCUAAAACUCAAAGGAAUUGACGGGGGCCCGCACAAGCGGCGGAGCAUGCGGAUUAAUUCGAUGCAACGCGAAGAACCUUACCAAGGCUUGACAUGC